GUGCUCGCUUCAGCAGCACAUAUACUAAAAUUGGAACGAUACAGAGAUUAGCAUGGCCCCUGUGCAAGGAUGACAUGCAAAUUCAUGAAGCGUUCCAUAUUUUU
This is a small nuclear RNA of Equus caballus (horse), 104 nucleotides long. Lineage: Eukaryota; Metazoa; Chordata; Mammalia; Perissodactyla; Equidae. The record is from Ensembl.